AAAAGAAAGAAAAAAUUUGUGAAAAAUUAAGUGAAAAUUCAAACUCCAAUGCCUGUUAUCAACUGGCCCAGCGUGAAGGAUUCUUUUCACAUAUACCAGGAUGCUUUACAGCAUGCUCUUGGAUGCCCAACACUACAUUUUCAUUGGUAGGGAGUUCAGGAGGGGCAUCAGGCCAUGGUGUGCGUUUUGAUGGUACAUUGACAUCCAGAGGAGGAUCAAUUAUCCAUCUGUAAAGAGACCACACUAAUGUCAAAUGCAUGUGCAUAGGAAGAGAUUCUGCUAAAUGAAUUUUAAUUAAAUAGGCAAUUGACUGUCAUGAUUUUUGUGUGUCAAUGAUAUAUAUUGAAA
This is a long non-coding RNA of Ziziphus jujuba (common jujube), 348 nucleotides long. RefSeq lists it as uncharacterized. The transcript has 2 exons. The record is from RefSeq and is a predicted model, not a curated record. NCBI's taxonomy places the organism in Eukaryota, Viridiplantae, Streptophyta, Magnoliopsida, Rosales, Rhamnaceae.